This 190-nucleotide ribosomal RNA is filed under the name uncultured bacterium. RNAcentral's name for it is "partial 16S ribosomal RNA". It matches the Rfam family "Bacterial small subunit ribosomal RNA", at positions 1303 to 1500 of the family's 1533-position model. The record is from RNAcentral.
GGCUGAAACUCGCCUCCAUGAAGUUGGAUUCGCUAGUAAUCGCGCAUCAGCAAUGGCGCGGUGAAUACGUUCCCGGGCCUUGUACACACCGCCCGUCAAGCCAUGGGAGUUGGGGGUGCCUGAAGUACGUGACCGCAAGGAGCGUCCUAGGGCAAAACCGAUGACUGGGGCUAAGUCGUAACAAGGUACC